Oreochromis aureus is the source of this 1337-nucleotide long non-coding RNA. Lineage: Eukaryota; Metazoa; Chordata; Actinopteri; Cichliformes; Cichlidae. The record is from Ensembl.
UGGGGUUUGGUCUAAUUUUUCCCUUUAAAAAUCUUCCUUCUGACUGUUCGUUGCACCUACAACCAGAACACACUGGGAGAACAACGGAGGACGGCAACAGUGUCCAUCUGACAUCAGUCACUACAGGUCUCUUCUUCCUUUGGGCAGCAGCUGUGAAGAUGGCUGCUCCUUACUGGGUUUCUGUAGCGGUCGUUGUUUUGAUGACUGUUAGAAACGGUGAGACUGUUAUUGACCCAAACCAGCUCGCACCAAUUGUACAAGAAAUUCUGAACAGGUACACACCAAGCUACAUUGGUGCAGAUGGCAACAGAAAGUUCCCCAUGUUCAGUGUGGCUGUGAGCGUCCCACUCAAUAAAGACAAGUUUGAUAUGAGCAAAGUCACUGAUGAUGGUGAAGCUGUGAGGACGAAGAUUCUAAACUGUGAUGUAUACAUAGGUAACAGAGUGGUGGCAGCCACAGUGCUGAGAUGGCGCAAUGUUCUCUAUCAGUGUCCUAAUGAACGUGUACAGUGGCGUGAUGUCCCAAAAAAAUGUAAUAGAAAGGAGAUAAAUACAUGGGCUGAUAUUGACAAAUUUUGUGAUGUACAAUCUAUUGAAAGAAUUCUGUUUGCUCAGGCUGCUCAUGCUGAGUCCCGAACCCUGGACUAUUUCAAAGAUAAGGACAAAAUUAGGAAAAACUCCAAAGAUGAUCUGAUGGUUUUCUACGUCCGUGCCUCCCCAUGUGGUGAAACAUGUACCAACCCAAACAACGAUCGGAAUAUUCUCAGUAAAAUACAAGCAAUAACGAACUGGACGAAUUAUGUUGUUGUGUUUUCAGAUGUAUUUAGACCUGAUGAUAAGAAUAAUAAUCAGGAUCGUGUGAAUGAACUGCGUGGAUCACUUGAGAGGCUUGGGGACGCAAUCGCAGAUCAAGGGCCAAAGGUCAAAGAUAAAAGGUCAAAUGGUCUCCAGCAUAUAUUCCGAUGCUACAGGCAGCCAGAAAUGGAUGAAAUGAAGUGUCUUAUCUGCAAUACCAAUGGUGCUGUAGCACAUAAAUGUAUUUUAGGUGGUUAGCAACCAUGGGGAGAAAGAGAAUAAGACCAAGAGGAAGAGUAACAUGCAUCCAUGUUUAACUUUAAAUGUGUGUGUUCGUCACAGCAAGAUUAACAUGUGCUCCUGAAAUCACAGCUGCCAUCGUGCACUCUGGUCAUUCUAGUCCACGAUACUGUCUGUGCCUCUGAUUGUGUCUGUGAACUGAAACACAAACAGUGUGUGUGGAGCGAGUGUAAUCCAUUGAUAGCCUCUGAUACUGUUUCUGAUUAAAGCUUAAUAAACUGCAUUAAAACAUGUCACAGCUUG